RNA transcript from Musa acuminata AAA Group (dessert banana), 838 nucleotides. RefSeq lists it as uncharacterized. The transcript has 2 exons. Lineage: Eukaryota; Viridiplantae; Streptophyta; Magnoliopsida; Zingiberales; Musaceae. The record is from RefSeq and is a predicted model, not a curated record.
GGAGGAUCGAUCAAUUAUUGUCGCCCACUGUUUGGCGUCUCUUUCUCUUCUCCGUGACGACGAUAACAACGAAGACGCCGCUUUACCUUCUUGGCCAUCUCACGCCGUCGGUGGAUGAUCCAGAAUGGGACGUGAUAUGAGAUGAAAUGGAUGCGUCGGCCGUCUCCAUCAAUGGAAUCGUGAGAAAGACGAAUGGGUUUGUCGAUUUGGGGGAGAUAAAAGAAGGAAAUUUAUUACCAAGAUAUAUAUAUGUAUUCUUGUUGUCGACCCAAAUAAGGCUUGUGUUCUUGGAGGAGGAAGGCUGUGGUGGCGGCGGCGGCGAUGGAGGCUACCAACACGAGGCCCUUGAUGCAGAAGGUGUACCACGAGAACUGCCCCGGCUGCAAGCAGGAGCAGAGGAGCGACGGCCAUGUGGGAAUCCCGUACAGGGAGUUCUUCUGCAUCUGUGUCCUCAUACUCUGCUACGGAUAGUUUAUCGCUCUCUAAAAUAUGUAAAUUGGGUUGAGGCAGUGGAAGACUAGAAGAUUUUGGGGCAAAUAUUUUGUACUUGAUAGGUUGAUGUUGUAUAAGUUCUUUUUGGGUGUAAUGAAAUAUCAAUGACAAAUCUAGAUUGAUGUAUCUUGUAAAUAUUUGAAAAGUAUCUCUUACUUCAGGAUUUUGGAAAUGUUAAGUUUAAACUAUGUACUGAUAUAAACAUGUAGUACAUGUUGGUUUUGUGAUUGCAUUAAUUGCCACGCUUAUGGAUUUAUGAUAUAGUUAUGGUUUAGUUAAGUUGCUUUUGGAUUUUAAAGAAUCAUCUAGUGACAUGAUGUAUGAUGUAUGAUUAUAAAUUACACAG